AGGAUAUUGAACCCCUUUUCAAAUAUUCACUGGCUGUUUGUGUUCUUCUUUAGAGAAGCAUCUAUCUAGUUUGAUCGUCCAUUUAUUCUUUAGAAGUGGGUAUCCAGUUUCCAAAGUACUAGCUGUUGAAGAUACUAUCUUUGGAUAUCUUUGUCAAACAUUAGGUGACUGUAUCUGUGACACAGCGACAAAUGACAACAACAUUUCUCAUCAGGGAGGUAAAUGAUGUGGCUGAUGUUUGUGAUUCCGUGGAUGUGCUGGAGCUAGUGUAAGUCAGUCUUGCACAUUGCUGGCUAGAAGAUGCAGGCUGCACUGAAGUACUCACGCAGUGCUGGAGUCUCUACAAUCUAGCCAUCCCAAGGAGACCCAGAUUCCAUUCUGCUUGAAGUCAGAUUCUCACCACUAAGCUUUAGCUGCACCCAAACUUGAAAGAUAUACUUGUACAAGUUAGCACUGCACAACUCCAGGGAGCUCGCUGUUUCAUGAUGGUCCUGGAAUCAUCUCAGACUCUCAUUCUCUCUUCCCAGAUCAG
This 532-nucleotide long non-coding RNA is filed under the name Cricetulus griseus (Chinese hamster). RNAcentral describes it as "lncRNA (ENSCGRG00015031260.1)". Lineage: Eukaryota; Metazoa; Chordata; Mammalia; Rodentia; Cricetidae. The record is from RNAcentral.